RNAcentral lists this ribosomal RNA (640 nucleotides) under uncultured Actinomycetes bacterium. RNAcentral's name for it is "bacterial SSU rRNA". It matches the Rfam family "Bacterial small subunit ribosomal RNA", at positions 232 to 885 of the family's 1533-position model. Lineage: Bacteria; Bacillati; Actinomycetota; Actinomycetes. The record is from RNAcentral.
CGCGGCCUAUCAGCUUGUUGGUGAGGUAACGGCUCACCAAGGCGACGACGGGUAGCUGGUCUGAGAGGACGAUCAGCCACACUGGGACUGAGACACGGCCCAGACUCCUACGGGAGGCAGCAGUGGGGAAUCUUGCGCAAUGGGCGAAAGCCUGACGCAGCAACGCCGCGUGCGGGAUGAAGGCCUUCGGGUUGUAAACCGCUUUCAGUAGGGACGAACUCAGACGGUACCUACAGAAGAAGCACCGGCCAACUACGUGCCAGCAGCCGCGGUAACACGUAGGGUGCAAGCGUUGUCCGGAAUCAUUGGGCGUAAAGAGCUCGUAGGCGGCUUAGUAAGUCGGGUGUGAAACCUCCAGGCUCAACCUGGAGACGCCACCCGAUACUGCUAUAGCUAGAGUCCAGUAGGGGAGUGCGGAAUUCCCGGUGUAGCGGUGAAAUGCGCAGAUAUCGGGAGGAACACCAGCGGCGAAGGCGGCACUCUGGGCUGGAACUGACGCUCAGGAGCGAAAGCGUGGGUAGCGAACAGGAUUAGAUACCCUGGUAGUCCACGCCGUAAACGUUGGGCACUAGGUGUGGGGUCUAUUCAACGGACUCCGUGCCGUAGCUAACACAUUAAGUGCCCCGCCUGGGGAGUACGG